RNAcentral lists this ribosomal RNA (301 nucleotides) under uncultured bacterium. Its description in RNAcentral is "partial 16S ribosomal RNA". It matches the Rfam family "Bacterial small subunit ribosomal RNA", at positions 509 to 807 of the family's 1533-position model. The record is from RNAcentral.
CAGCAGCCGCGGGAAUACGAAGGGGGCUAGCGUUGUUCGGAAUCACUGGGCGUAAAGCGCACGUAGGCGGAUACUUAAGUCAGGGGUGAAAUCCCGGGGCUCAACCUCGGAACUGCCUUUGAUACUGGGUAUCUUGAGUCCGGGAGAAGUUGGUGGAACUCCGAGCGUAGAGGUGAAAUUCCUAGACAUUCGGAAGAACACCAGUGGCGAAGGCGGCUCACUGGCCCGAUACUGACGCUGAGGCACGAAAGCGUGGGGAGCAAACAGGAUUAGAUACCCCAGUAGUCCCUGUCUCUUAUAC